This 642-nucleotide ribosomal RNA is filed under the name uncultured Staphylococcus sp. RNAcentral's name for it is "bacterial SSU rRNA". It matches the Rfam family "Bacterial small subunit ribosomal RNA", at positions 63 to 687 of the family's 1533-position model. Lineage: Bacteria; Bacillati; Bacillota; Bacilli; Caryophanales; Staphylococcaceae. The record is from RNAcentral.
CGAGCGAACGGACGAGAAGCUCGCUUCUCUGAUGUUAGCGGCGGACGGGUGAGUAACACGUGGAUAACCUACCUAUAAGACUGGGAUAACUUCGGGAAACCGGAGCUAAUACCGGAUAAUAUUUUGAACCGCAUGGUUCAAAAGUGAAAGACGGUCUUGCUGUCACUUAUAGAUGGAUCCGCGCUGCAUUAGCUAGUUGGUAAGGUAACGGCUUACCAAGGCAACGAUGCAUAGCCGACCUGAGAGGGUGAUCGGCCACACUGGAACUGAGACACGGUCCAGACCCCUACGGGAGGCAGCAGUAGGGAAUCUUCCGCAAUGGGCGAAAGCCUGACGGAGCAACGCCGCGUGAGUGAUGAAGGUCUUCGGAUCGUAAAACUCUGUUAUUAGGGAAGAACAUAUGUGUAAGUAACUGUGCACAUCUUGACGGUACCUAAUCAGAAAGCCACGGCUAACUACGUGCCAGCAGCCGCGGUAAUACGUAGGUGGCAAGCGUUAUCCGGAAUUAUUGGGCGUAAAGCGCGCGUAGGCGGUUUUUUAAGUCUGAUGUGAAAGCCCACGGCUCAACCGUGGAGGGUCAUUGGAAACUGGAAAACUUGAGUGCAGAAGAGGAGAGUGGAAUUCCAUGUGUAGCGGUGAAAU